RNAcentral lists this long non-coding RNA (246 nucleotides) under Vicia faba (fava bean). Lineage: Eukaryota; Viridiplantae; Streptophyta; Magnoliopsida; Fabales; Fabaceae. The record is from RNAcentral.
AUGCUUAAACCCAAAAACCUUGUUAAACCAAUGCGGUUCGGAUUACCAGAGAUCGAUUCAUGGCGAAAAAGUUGCAGUCAUUCGCAUUGGGAACGAUGGAUGACAACAAGCAAACGAGUCCAAGACCGAAGCAAGAAGAAAAGGGUUCACGAACUCGAAGUAGCAACAGAGAAAUGGAAGAUAACCUCCAAAAUCAUCUUCUUAAUGGAACUUCUCAAACAAGAACCAGAAAUGCUGAAGACUUGA